AUGUAGGAUAUAACCAAGUCUAAUAUCAUCAAUCUGAGCAACCUUGAUGUGGUAUAUAUUUCGAUAGGUCAUGAAUAUAAUGCAAGAGCAUGAUGGUGCAAGAAAAGGACACAGAGUCAUGGAAAUAUAAUCACGUGGAAUGGAUGGACCUAUGAGCAUGGCAGAUCAUCUACAAAUCAUUGUUGUUAUCUCUGUGUAAUUAUGUGUAAAAUUUAGCACCUCAAAAGCAUGGCC
RNAcentral lists this long non-coding RNA (234 nucleotides) under Elaeis guineensis (African oil palm). RNAcentral's name for it is "long non-coding RNA (EGUI_LNC011412)". The record is from RNAcentral. Lineage: Eukaryota; Viridiplantae; Streptophyta; Magnoliopsida; Arecales; Arecaceae.